This 722-nucleotide long non-coding RNA is filed under the name Olea europaea (common olive). RNAcentral's name for it is "long non-coding RNA (OEUR_LNC015533)". The record is from RNAcentral. Lineage: Eukaryota; Viridiplantae; Streptophyta; Magnoliopsida; Lamiales; Oleaceae.
GAUAGCACGAUUUCUAUUUGCACCGAACAUAAUUGCACGGAAAGAACGAUAGAGGAGUAGCUCCUCAAGGAUAGUGUUUUUCCACUUUCUGCCAUUUGUGAAACUCUUCAAUGGCUACCUUCAACCUCUCAUCCCCAAAAAGGCCAACACACUCAGGCUCUUCCCUUGGCGAAAAAAAAAAUGAAAAAAAUUCCACAAAUUUUUAAAUCUUUAAAAAAAAUUUAGAUUUGUCAAAAAUUAAAAAGAAAAAAAAACUAGCCGACUCACCUUUGAGUUGAAAAGCUCAGGUUGAGCUUAAAUUUUUUGGCCAAGCAAAAACUCGACUUGACUACAGCCAGAAAAUGCAAGAAUCACUUUUACUCAAGCCGAGCUCUGCCUUCUAGCUUCGCGAGCUGGCUCAACUCGUUGAUAUCUUACAUGCAUCAAAUAUGAUCGCAUUUUCAUUCCAAUCCGGAGAUAGCACGAUUUCUAUUUGCACCGAACAUAAUUGCACGGAAAGAACGAUAGAGGAGUAGCUCCUCAAGGAUAGUGUUUUUCCACUGUCUGCCAUUUGUGAAACUCUUCAAUGGCUACCUUCAACCUCUCAUCCCCAAAAAGGCCAACACACUCAGGCUCUUCCCUUGGCGUAUAUUCCCAAUUUUCUUCCCAAAAUGCCUCCUCUCUUUCGUUUUAUUCCCUACCGAAGCCUUCUCUACCCUUCUCCUCUAUAUCCCUCAGACGUA